Molecule: ribosomal RNA, 460 nt
Filed under: uncultured bacterium
Lineage: Bacteria
Description: partial 16S ribosomal RNA
Rfam family: Bacterial small subunit ribosomal RNA
Source: RNAcentral
CCUACGGGUGGCAGCAGUGAGGAAUAUUGGUCAAUGGACGAGAGUCUGAACCAGCCACGUAGCGUGAAGGAUGACUGCCCUAUGGGUUGUAAACUUCUUUUAUAUGGGAAUAAAAUGUUCCACGUGUGGGAUUUUGUAUGUACCAUAUGAAUAAGGAUCGGCUAACUCCGUGCCAGCAGCCGCGGUAAUACGGAGGAUCCGAGCGUUAUCCGGAUUUAUUGGGUGUAAAGGGAGCGUAGGUGGAUUGUUAAGUCAGUUGUGAAAGUGUGCGGCUCAACCGUAAAAUUGCAGUUGAAACUGGCAGUCUUGAGUACAGUAGAGGUGAGCGGAAUUCGUGGUGUAGCGGUGAAAUGCUUAGAUAUCACGAAGAACUCCGAUUGCGAAGGCAGUUCACUGGACUGCAACUGACACUGAGGCUCGAAAGUGUGGGUAUCAAACAGGAUUAGAUACCCGAGUAGUC